CGAAGAAAUGAUAAAAUUUUUUUUCCGUAAAAAUUGUAAACCUAGCCACGCUAGGCUGCGAUGCCGCCUCGUCGAUGGUCGCGACGAAACUGAAGCUAAAGCCAGAGGCCAGAGUGCCAGAGGAAUAGAACUUCCAGAUACAGAGUGGAGUUAAUUCCAAGCAGAGUUUCACUCAGACUCGUGAGUAUCUGAUCUCUGAGAAUGGACUAAAGAAGAGAGAAUAUAAUAGCCUAUGUAGAAUCGUGUAGAAGAAGAGGAUGCUGUUUAAAACCCAAGUAUUCUCUCCUUGGCGGUGAGUAAAUUUUCGCUGAGCAAAAAAACCAACCCUUUAUAUAUAUAUAUAUAUAUAUAAAGGCAUAGAUAGAUCGUGGAUAUAUAAAAGAGACUUUUUGCACUUCAUCACCUGCAAAGGUUCUUUUAUUAUACAACUAAACGGAAGGAGGAUAAUCGAACGUUCAAGCAUUUAACACCUUGAAAAAGUCUAAGUUUUUUAUUAUAAAUACUAGCUGUUACUCGCUCGGCGUUUUAUAGAAUUGCAUUUUUUAAUUUAGACUUGAAAUUUAACUAGAGUAUUGUUUUGACUUGCACAUGUGCAAACUAUUAUUUGCUUAAAAACAAAUUUUGUCAAA
This is a long non-coding RNA of Cotesia glomerata, 629 nucleotides long. RefSeq lists it as uncharacterized. The record is from RefSeq and is a predicted model, not a curated record. The transcript has 3 exons. Lineage: Eukaryota; Metazoa; Arthropoda; Insecta; Hymenoptera; Braconidae.